This 433-nucleotide ribosomal RNA is filed under the name uncultured bacterium. Its description in RNAcentral is "partial 16S ribosomal RNA". It matches the Rfam family "Bacterial small subunit ribosomal RNA", at positions 29 to 507 of the family's 1533-position model. The record is from RNAcentral.
AACGAACGCUGGCGGCAUGCCUAACACAUGCAAGUCGAACGAUGCUUUCGGGCAUAGUGGCGCACGGGUGCGUAACGCGUGGGAAUCUGCCCUUGGGUUCGGAAUAACAGUGAGAAAUUGCUGCUAAUACCGGAUGAUGUCUUCUGACCAAAGAUUUAUCGCCCAGGGAUGAGCCCGCGUAGGAUUAGCUAGUUGGUGGGGUAAUGGCCUACCAAGGCGACGAUCCUUAGCUGGUCUGAGAGGAUGAUCAGCCACACUGGGACUGAGACACGGCCCAGACUCCUACGGGAGGCAGCAGUGGGGAAUAUUGGACAAUGGGCGCAAGCCUGAUCCAGCAAUGCCGCGUGAGUGAUGAAGGCCUUAGGGUUGUAAAGCUCUUUUACCCGGGAUGAUAAUGACAGUACCGGGAGAAUAAGCUCCGGCUAACUCCGUG